UGGGGAAUAUUGGACAAUGGGCGAAAGCCUGAUCCAGCCAUGCCGCGUGUGUGAAGAAGGUCUUCGGAUUGUAAAGCACUUUAAGUUGGGAGGAAGGGCAGUUACCUAAUACGUGAUUGUUUUGACGUUACCGACAGAAUAAGCACCGGCUAACUCUGUGCCAGCAGCCGCGGUAAUACAGAGGGUGCAAGCGUUAAUCGGAAUUACUGGGCGUAAAGCGCGCGUAGGUGGUUUGUUAAGUUGGAUGUGAAAUCCCCGGGCUCAACCUGGGAACUGCAUUCAAAACUGACAAGCUAGAGUAUGGUAGAGGGUGGUGGAAUUUCCUGUGUAGCGGUGAAAUGCGUAGAUAUAGGAAGGAACACCAGUGGCGAAGGCGACCACCUGGACUGAUACUGACACUGAGGUGCGAAAGCGUGGGGAGCAAACAGGAUUAGAUACCCAUGUAGUCCCUGAGCGGGCUGGCAAGGCGCAU
This 472-nucleotide ribosomal RNA is filed under the name uncultured bacterium. RNAcentral describes it as "bacterial SSU rRNA". It matches the Rfam family "Bacterial small subunit ribosomal RNA", at positions 355 to 825 of the family's 1533-position model. The record is from RNAcentral.